CAGAGGGGGCAAGCGUUGUUCGGAAUUACUGGGCGUAAAGGGCGCGUAGGCGGCCUUCUAAGUCAGACGUGAAAUCCCCGGGCUCAACCCGGGAACUGCGUCUGAUACUGGACGGCUCGAAUCCGGGAGAGGGAUGUGGAAUUCCAGGUGUAGCGGUGAAAUGCGUAGAUAUCUGGAGGAACACCGGUGGCGAAGGCGGCAUCCUGGACCGGUAUUGACGCUGAGGCGCGAAAGCCAGGGGAGCAAACGGGAUUAGAUACCCCGGUAGUCUUGGCCCUAAACGAUGAAUGCUUGGUGUGGCGGGUAUCGAUCCCUGCCGUGCCGAAGCUAACGCAUUAAGCAUUCCGCCUGGGGAGUACGGUCGCAAGGCUG
Molecule: ribosomal RNA, 372 nt
Filed under: uncultured organism
Description: bacterial SSU rRNA
Rfam family: Bacterial small subunit ribosomal RNA
Source: RNAcentral